CAAUAGCGUAUAUUAAAGUUGUUGCGGUUAAAAAGCUCGUAGUUGGAUUUCUGCCGAGGACGACCGGUCCGCCCUCUGGGUGAGUAUCUGGCUCGGCCUGGGCAUCUUCUUGGAGAACGUAGCUGCACUUGACUGUGUGGUGCGGUAUCCAGGACUUUUACUUUGAGGAAAUUAGAGUGUUUCAAGCAGGCUUACGCCUUGAAUACAUUAGCAUGGAAUAAUAAGAUAGGACCUCGGUUCUAUUUUGUUGGUUUCUAGAGCUGAGGUAAUGAUUAAUAGGGAUAGUUGGGGGCAUUCGUAUUUAACCGUCAGAGGUGAAAUUCUUGGAUUUGUUAAAGACGGACUACUGCGAAAGCAUUUGCCAAGGAUGUUUUCAUUG
Molecule: ribosomal RNA, 379 nt
Filed under: uncultured eukaryote
Lineage: Eukaryota
Description: partial 18S ribosomal RNA
Rfam family: Eukaryotic small subunit ribosomal RNA
Source: RNAcentral